AACGGCUCAGUAACACGUGGACAAUCUAACCUACGGAAGAGGAUAACCCCGGGAAACUGGGGAUAAUACUCUAUAGACUAUGGAUGCUGGAAUGCUUCGUAGUCGAAAGGUCCGCCGCCGUAGGAUGGGUCUGCGGCCGAUUAGGUUGUUGUUGGGGUAACGGCCCAACAAGCCUGUAAUCGGUACGGGUUGUGGGAGCAAGAGCCCGGAGAUGGAUUCUGAGACACGAAUCCAGGCCCUACGGGGCGCAGCAGGCGCGAAAACUUUACAAUGCGGGAAACCGUGAUAAGGGAACUCCGAGUGCCCGUAAAAUCGGGCUGUCCAUCAGUGUAAAUAACUGGUGAAGAAAGGGCCGGGCAAGACCGGUGCCAGCCGCCGCGGUAAUACCGGCGGCUCGAGUGGUGGCCACUAUUACUGGGCUUAAAGCGUUCGUAGCUGGUUUGUUAAGUCUCUGGGGAAAUCUUCCGGCUUAACCGGAAGGCGUCUCAGGGAUACUGGCAGACUAGGGACCGGGAGAGGUGAGGGGUACUCCAGGGGUAGGAGUGAAAUCCUGUAAUCCUUGGGGGACCACCUGUGGCGAAGGCGCCUCACCAGAACGGCUCCGACAGUGAGGGACGAAAGCUGGGGGAGCAAACCGGAUUAGAUACCCGGGUAGUCCCAGCCGUAAACGAUGCGCGUUAGGUGUAUCGGUGACCACGAGUCACCGAGGUGCCGAAGAGAAAUCGUGAAACGUGCCGCCUAGGA
Molecule: ribosomal RNA, 744 nt
Filed under: uncultured Methanomicrobiaceae archaeon
Lineage: Archaea; Methanobacteriati; Methanobacteriota; Methanomicrobia; Methanomicrobiales; Methanomicrobiaceae
Description: bacterial SSU rRNA
Rfam family: Archaeal small subunit ribosomal RNA
Source: RNAcentral